This 457-nucleotide ribosomal RNA is filed under the name uncultured bacterium. Its description in RNAcentral is "partial 16S ribosomal RNA". It matches the Rfam family "Bacterial small subunit ribosomal RNA", at positions 338 to 795 of the family's 1533-position model. The record is from RNAcentral.
CCUACGGGAGGCAGCAGUGGGGAAUAUUGCACAAUGGGGGAAACCCUGAUGCAGCAACGCCGCGUGAGUGAAGAAGUAUUUCGGUACGUAAAGCUCUAUCAGCAGGGAAGAAAAAAAGGCCUUUGGACCUUGGACGGUACCCUACUAAGAAGCCCCGGCGAACUACGUUCCAGCAGCCGCGGUAAUACGUAGGGGGCACGCGUUAUCCGGAUUUAGUGGGUGUAAAGGGAGCGUAGCCGGGCUGGCAAGUCAGCAGUGAACGCCGGGGGCUCAACCCCCGAACUGCAUUUGAAACUGUUGGGCUGGAGGACAGGAGGGGCAGGCGGAAUUCCUAGUGUAGCGGUGAAAUGCGUAGAUAUUAGGAGGAACACCAGUGGCGAAGGCGGCCUGCUGGACGACAACUGACGGUGAGGCGCGAAGGCGUGGGGAGCAAACAGGAUUAGAUACCCCAGUAGUC